This 993-nucleotide long non-coding RNA is filed under the name Pan paniscus (pygmy chimpanzee). RNAcentral describes it as "lncRNA (ENSPPAG00000044287.1)". The record is from RNAcentral. Lineage: Eukaryota; Metazoa; Chordata; Mammalia; Primates; Hominidae.
AGGGAAGAAGGGAAGGAAGGAAGGAAGAGGGGAAGGAGGGGGAGGAGGGAGGAAUGAAGAGAGAGAGGAAGGCAGUGAAGGAGGGGAGAGAGGAAGGAAGGGAGAAAGGAAAGAAGGAAGGAAGGAAAAAAGGAAGGGAAAGAGGAAGGGAUAGAGGAAGGAAAGAAGGAAGGAAGGAAGGAAGGGCAAUUGGUACUAACUUCUUGUAGUGCCCAGGCACUCUUCCCCUAGUGGGCAGGGCAGAGAGACUGUGAAAGGUGGAGAUGAAGGAGAGUCAUCAUUUCACUCUUGAGAAAGGACGGAGCAGUCUGUGUGGAAGAGAUGAGAUCUGGGAUAAAUUGGAAAAGGUGUCAAAAAAUUAGGAGGGAAGAAAUAUUUCCAGCAAGUCUGCUACCACACUCCUCAAAUUCAACUAAGAGUGGUGAUUUAAUCUGCAGGCCCCGACUGGACGGCUUUGGCUAAGGAACCAACGCAGGUGGAGAAGGAGGCUGACGAUGGAGCCCAGGCACUCCAGCCUUGAAGGAGGAGAACCCGACCCAGAACGAGAAACACAGCAGAGAGGGAAUGGUCAACCCCAGAGCACUGGCCACUUUGGGAAAAUGGACAUCUCCUCUCCUCUGGCUGAAGGAAAGGACUUUAAAUGCCCUGUAAAACACAUAAAACAAGACUCAGAAAAUGGAUCCAAGUGGCAACUCAGCUAUGUUGCUGGGUGAACAGCUUCUCUGGCAGUGUGGGGCGACGGGGUCGAGGGCCAUCUGCCUGUGUGGUCCCUGCAUUGUCCAUCAGCCCGGAACCCUACCCUGCAACUUGAGCCCAGGAUGCCCAGCAAAGUCCAGUGCACUGGCUGGCUCGGCUGGCUGAGGAAGAGCGUGCUUUUCACAGAGCACUACCUGGCCCCCGCAAGGGGACGCAGACGUGGCGGCGCUCUCUCAUGGACAUCAGGAGCAGGAUUUGCAAACCAUGUUCACUCUGAAGUCCUGAUGGAAGAAUAGA